Molecule: long non-coding RNA, 1286 nt
Organism: Salvia miltiorrhiza (redroot sage)
Lineage: Eukaryota; Viridiplantae; Streptophyta; Magnoliopsida; Lamiales; Lamiaceae
Exons: 4
Source: RefSeq, a predicted model, not a curated record
AGAUUUCAUCUUGGGUUUGUCCCCCCUCUCCUUCCCCUUCCUCUUUCCCUUCCCCUUCGGCCUUUUCCCACCAGUUUGCCACCACCCGCGCUGCCCUCGCCCCAGCCGUGUGCCCCUCAGCCCCCUUGCCCAGCGACCAUGGCGUAGCGACGAAGAGAAGGCUCAAGUGGCGGCGCUGCUGGCGAUUUCAAGUGCCAGUCGGAUCUCAAUCUCACCGACCUCCCCGCGCCGUCUACCCUGCGCCUCGUCUUUCUCUUCGCCGACCUCCACAAACGCUCUACCCCACAUCACCCUACCAUGUGUCGUCGCCCCCAUCUUCAGCGCCCUAGCUGACCUCCUGAAUCCUAGCUGGUCAUUGCCGCUGCCACCCCAAUUCGGUGCCCAUCUUCAAUCGCGUCUGUUCUGUACAUUAGAGGACCGAGUUUAUACUUGAUUCGACUUUACUCAAAUUUUCGUGGCGUCGGGGUGAUAGGCGAACAACCUGUUAUACUUCCCAAUACUAGUUUCGAGUUCUCUUUGGAAAUUCUUCCUGGUUUGUGUAGAUGUGUUGAUCCUGGUAUAACCUUUUUUCACCAUUCAGUAAAGGAGUUGUGGUCUUUUUUGGUGCAUUCUUUCCUUUAUUUUGAGAUAAAUUUUGACAAUCCGUAGUGGAUAUUUGAAGUCCUGAUUAAUUCUUUCAUAGAAAGCAAGUCUGAUAUCAAUAUUUUGGGUUCAACUUUUGGAAAAUGCCCAUUUUGGAUUAUAUGAUCAUCUGUAACUCUAUUAUUUUGAUUUAGCACAUGAUAUCCCCCUUGUUUAUUUAACUUUUCUAUUUUCCACUGGAGUGUGAUCAAAGCAAGUGCUGAAGAAAUUUUGAACUUAUCCUUAUCCUUUUAUGAGCUCUUGGUGAAGUACAUUGUAGCAUAGCUAGAGUUGUCAAAGUCCGAGAAUUUCAGAAGGAGGUGAAUAUGUACUCAAAGGAUCUGAAUUACUUGUGGAUUGCUCUGAGAACCUGCAGCAGCUACAAUUUGACAAUGUUCAACAACUCCAACACCAGGAAUCUAAUUUCUACCCUUCAAAAUGCCGAAUCUCAGUGACAGCGUCGAAGCGGCAGAUGGAGGAGCAAGAAAUGAUGAACAUAGACGAAGAGGAAUACGGGGAGAAAGUGACGUGUUCGAUACAUUACUCUAGCUACUUAGAUAUAUUACAUGGUUAAGUUAUUUAGAUAUAUUUGACAUUUUGAUUAUGGAUGGAUGAAGUUAUUUGGAUGAUUAAAUAUUUAUAGAAUAUAUGUUUUGGUUGUAGUA